UGAAUGUCAAAACGACUCUCGGCAACGGAUAUCUCGGCUCUCGCAUCGAUGAAGAACGUAGCGAAAUGCGAUACUUGGUGUGAAUUGCAGAAUCCCGUGAACCAUCGAGUCUUUGAACGCAAGUUGCGCCCGAAGCCUUCGGGCCGAGGGCACGCCUGCCUGGGCGUCACGCAUCGCGU
This 179-nucleotide ribosomal RNA is filed under the name Ruellia puri. Its description in RNAcentral is "5.8S ribosomal RNA". The stretch from base 14 to 169 matches the Rfam family "5.8S ribosomal RNA". Rfam says of the family: 5.8S ribosomal RNA (5.8S rRNA) is a component of the large subunit of the eukaryotic ribosome. RNAcentral also lists the same sequence under 4 other names. Lineage: Eukaryota; Viridiplantae; Streptophyta; Magnoliopsida; Lamiales; Acanthaceae. The record is from RNAcentral.